RNAcentral lists this ribosomal RNA (253 nucleotides) under uncultured bacterium. RNAcentral describes it as "partial 16S ribosomal RNA". It matches the Rfam family "Bacterial small subunit ribosomal RNA", at positions 524 to 776 of the family's 1533-position model. The record is from RNAcentral.
UACGGAGGGUGCAAGCGUUAUCCGGAUUCACUGGGUUUAAAGCGUGUGUAGGCGGAUCGUUAAGUACCUUGUGAAAUCCCACGGCUUAACCGUGGAACUGCUGGGUAUACUGGCGAUCUUGAGCCACCUAGGGGCAACCGGAACAAAUGGUGGAGCGGUGAAAUGCGUAGAUAUCAUUUGGAACGCCAAUGGUGAAAACAGGUUGCUGGGGGUGUGCUGACGCUGAGACACGAAAGCCAGGGGAGCGAACGGG